AGGGUUUGAUUAUGGCUCAGGAUGAACGCUGGCGGCGUGCCUAACACAUGCAAGUCGAACGAUGAAACCGCCCUCGGGCGGACAUGAAGUGGCGAACGGGUGAGUAACACGUGACCAACCUGCCCCUUGCUCCGGGACAACCUUGGGAAACCGAGGCUAAUACCGGAUACUCCUCGCCCCCCUCCUGGGGGGCCCGGGAAAGCCCAGACGGCAAGGGAUGGGGUCGCGGCCCAUUAGGUAGUAGGCGGGGUAACGGCCCACCUAGCCCGCGAUGGGUAGCCGGGUUGAGAGACCGACCGGCCACAUUGGGACUGAGAUACGGCCCAG
Molecule: ribosomal RNA, 327 nt
Filed under: uncultured bacterium
Lineage: Bacteria
Description: bacterial SSU rRNA
Rfam family: Bacterial small subunit ribosomal RNA
Source: RNAcentral